GCUUGCUACGCGGGGAUUAGUGGCGAACGGGUGAGUAACACGUGAGUAACCUGCCCUUAACUCUGGGAUAAGCCUGGGAAACUGGGUCUAAUACCGGAUAUGACUGAUCAUCGCAUGGUGGUUGGUGGAAAGCUUUUUGUGGUUUUGGAUGGACUCGCGGCCUAUCAGCUUGUUGGUGAGGUAAUGGCUUACCAAGGCGACGACGGGUAGCCGGCCUGAGAGGGUGACCGGCCACACUGGGACUGAGACACGGCCCAGACUCCUACGGGAGGCAGCAGUGGGGAAUAUUGCACAAUGGGCGCAAGCCUGAUGCAGCGACGCCGCGUGAGGGAUGACGGCCUUCGGGUUGUAAACCUCUUUCAGUAGGGAAGAAGCGAAAGUGACGGUACCUGCAGAAGAAGCGCCGGCUAACUACGUGCCAGCAGCCGCGGUAAUACGUAGGGCGCAAGCGUUAUCCGGAAUUAUUGGGCGUAAAGAGCUCGUAGGCGGUUUGUCGCGUCUGCCGUGAAAGUCCGGGGCUCAACUCCGGAUCUGCGGUGGGUACGGGCAGACUAGAGUGAUGUAGGGGAGACUGGAAUUCCUGGUGUAGCGGUGAAAUGCGCAGAUAUCAGGAGGAACACCGAUGGCGAAGGCAGGUCUCUGGGCAUUAACUGACGCUGAGGAGCGAAAGCAUGGGGAGCGAACAGGAUUAGAUACCCUGGUAGUCCAUGCCGU
Molecule: ribosomal RNA, 714 nt
Filed under: Arthrobacter humicola
Lineage: Bacteria; Bacillati; Actinomycetota; Actinomycetes; Micrococcales; Micrococcaceae
Description: bacterial SSU rRNA
Rfam family: Bacterial small subunit ribosomal RNA
Source: RNAcentral